UACGAAGGGUGCAAGCGUUAAUCGGAAUUACUGGGCGUAAAGCGCGCGUAGGUGGUUCAGUAAGUUAGGAGUGAAAGCCCCGGGCUUAACCUGGGAAUUGCUUCUAAAACUGCUGAGCUAGAGUACGGUAGAGGGUGGUGGAAUUUCCUGUGUAGCGGUGAAAUGCGUAGAUAUAGGAAGGAACAUCAGUGGCGAAGGCGACCACCUGGACUGAUACUGACACUGAGGUGCGAAAGCGUGGGGAGCAAACAGG
This 253-nucleotide ribosomal RNA is filed under the name uncultured bacterium. Its description in RNAcentral is "partial 16S ribosomal RNA". It matches the Rfam family "Bacterial small subunit ribosomal RNA", at positions 524 to 776 of the family's 1533-position model. RNAcentral also lists the same sequence under 2 other names. The record is from RNAcentral.